Molecule: long non-coding RNA, 412 nt
Filed under: Ananas comosus (pineapple)
Lineage: Eukaryota; Viridiplantae; Streptophyta; Magnoliopsida; Poales; Bromeliaceae
Description: long non-coding RNA (ACOM_LNC004765)
Source: RNAcentral
GUAAAAACGUAUAAAAUUAUUUGAAUUAUGGUCUAUUUCGAACCGUUCAAAAAUUUAAUUUUACUCUAAAUUUUCAAUUUGGCUGAUUUGAGUUAGUCAACAACACUCCGACUUCAAAUUUUUGACUAAUUAUUUUACUAAAUUUAUAAUUACAAAAAUUACAUAAAAUAUGAUAACUAAUCUGUAAAAAUAAACGAUGUAUUCAAAUUUUAAAAUCAAAAUAUAGUUGACUAGCUGAAAUCAAAUAAAUAGACAAAGUAAAAUAAUUCAUAAUUUAAAUAAAUAUUAAAAAAUUUUAUUUUUUUACAUAAAAUUUAUCAAAAUUAUUUAAUAAUUUUAAUAAAUAAUAAUAAAAAAUAUUAUUAUUUUAUUUAUAAGAAAAAUUUCUGCGCACUAAAUUGUGUGUUGUUGC